AUGAUGAUGGGUAGUCACAACAGCAAACAAAGAAUGAAGCCUUUUGAGACUAAAAGCCCACUGAGAAAGAGGCGCAGGAAAAUAUCAGUCGCAUUCACCGGGCGCAUACCUUAUCUUAGGUCUCGAGCUUCAAUUGGCUUCAAACCCGCUUUUCUCGCGUGGCCCUCCGGCAAAAAGAAAAGAAGCUUCAAUCUGUCCAAUUCCGCCCGAGAAGGAGUGCUGGUUUUGGAUUCUUUUUUUGCCCGCGCGUAG
Vicia faba (fava bean) is the source of this 252-nucleotide non-coding RNA. The record is from the annotation of a GenBank genome assembly. NCBI's taxonomy places the organism in Eukaryota, Viridiplantae, Streptophyta, Magnoliopsida, Fabales, Fabaceae.